This 440-nucleotide ribosomal RNA is filed under the name uncultured bacterium. RNAcentral describes it as "partial 16S ribosomal RNA". It matches the Rfam family "Bacterial small subunit ribosomal RNA", at positions 338 to 795 of the family's 1533-position model. The record is from RNAcentral.
CCUACGGGUGGCUGCAGUAAGGAAUAUUGCUCAAUGGGGGAAAUCCUGAAGCAGCAACGCCGCGUGGAGGAUGAAGGUUUUCGGAUUGUUAACUCCUUUUUUUCGAGAAGAUAAUGACGGUAUGUAUCCCAUAAUCACCGUCUAACUCGGUGGCGGCUGCCGCAGUUAUGUGGCGGGUGCAAGCGUUACUCGGAAUUACUGGGCGUAAACAGCGCGUAGGCGGGAUAGCAAGUCCGAUGGGAGUACCUUUGGCUUAAACCUAGAACUGCAUUUGAAACUGGUAGUCUAGAGUAUGGGAGAAGUAGGUGGAAUGCGUGGUGUAGGGGUAAAAUCCGUAGAGAUCGAGAGGAAUACUCAUUGCGAAGGCAACCUGCUAGCACAAAACUGACGCUGAUGCGCGAAAGCGUGGGGAUCGAACAGGAUUAGAUACCCGAGUAGUC